Molecule: long non-coding RNA, 2052 nt
Organism: Camelus dromedarius (Arabian camel)
Lineage: Eukaryota; Metazoa; Chordata; Mammalia; Artiodactyla; Camelidae
Exons: 3
Source: RefSeq, a predicted model, not a curated record
CCAGGAGCCUCUUGGAAGCUAACAGUGUAAGGAGCGUCUGCUACUUUCCCCUUCUCUUCUUGCCUCCGCUCCGCUCAGCUUGACCGGGCGACCCGCGGCUUGUCGGGUGCAGCGGAAGCUCCCAAGUAGCUGAGAAGUUCAUGGAAUCUCCUUAUUGGUACAACUUUCACUAUUGUUUGUGUGGGGUACGGGUGAGCAGACAUUUCUCAAGCACACUGUUCACAUACACAGUACAUGGAGACUUGACUUCAAAAAGGCAAAAGAAAUAGGUUUGAGCAAUUGGUACCCGGACACAAGAAGGCUGGGAGAGAUCAGGAGACCAAAUGCCACACAGAGUGGACCUUAAGACAUGAGACCAGCGAGGACACAGAAUGGAGAAGGGCAAGAGAAACAUCAUCAGGGGUGGGGAGGACAGGGGAGCGAUGAAGGAACAUGGAAAUGAUAGAGGGCAGCUCUUCAGAUGUAUCCUAGAAAUCCUAAAACUUGCACAAGCCUACACCUGCAUGCACAUACUCAUACCCGGCCUAGAUUGAAGAAGAGCAGCUCUCAAUGUUUGCUCUGUGCCUGUAUCUUCCAGAACACCUCCCUGCUAGAGGCGUGUAGCCUUCACUGUCCAAAGAGUCUGAAUCAGAGGUCUAGGUCAGGCCCACAUGUCUGCUGCCAUGUAAUACUUGUAAGCUGGGCUCAUUCUUGGUCAGGACAAUAGGCUGCUGUGAAUACUAGCAGCUUGGAGAAGGCAGCAUGGUAUCCUGCGGUGCCUCUGUUAAACCACCCUGUCAGGUCAGCCUGAGCAGCUUCCCUCCGUGGACCUCAGUUUCCCUCAACUAUAAAGUGAAGGCCUUCGUUGGACUCCCGAGUAACUGUAACACUCAAACUUCUCUGAAAUCGGGUAUGUGGGGUUCCCUCCUCCCUGAGGAGCUGGGGGGUGGGCUACUUUUUAGAAAACCUUGAAUCUGAGGCUACAUCCCAAUUUGGUGAUUCCACCUAAAUGAUAUGUUUUCUCCAAAAAGCACUUUACCACAUUCUCUCAUCUAAUAUUUAUAUUGAGAACUGAUGAAAACAUCAGGAGCAAAUUAUGUGGAAGUGGCUCAGAUGUGUUCCCUGACUCAGGUGGACUUGAGGGGCUGGGGUGGAAGAGAGAAAGUGACUAUCACUGGUGCUCAGGUUUAAAACAAUGAAGAAAAAAUGGAGCUUAGACCUUAAUCCUUUCAUAAAACAUUCUCACCCCAAGUUGGUCACUAAAUUCCUGGGAUUAGCCUCCUCUCUCCCACGCAAUGCUUGGUUGGACCUAUUGUCACCCCUUUUCCCCUGUGAGGCUGCCCUCAACAUUUUUUUUUUUAAAGCUGAACUGCAAACUUUAUUCAGAUCCAAUCCAGGGUCCCACACUGCAUUUCCUUCAUCUUUUCCAACCUGUACCAAUUCCUCAUCAUUUCCCUGUCUUUCAUGACCUUGACACUUUUUUGAAGAGUUCUGGUCAGUUAUUUUGUAGACUGUCCCUCAGUUUGGACUUGUCUGAUGUUUUCUCAUGAUGAGACUGGGGUUUUGGAGUUUCUGUAAGAAAACCACAGAAGUGAUGUGUCCGCCUCAGUGCACCAUUCAGGGGUCCCUGCUGUCAGCAUGUUUCAUCCCUGGUGAUGAUAACCUGGAUGACUUGGUUAAGGUGGUGUCUAUCAGGUCUUUCGCUGUAAAGUGGAGAAUUCCAUGUGGAAUUAAUAUCGAUCAGCGGGGAGAUGCUGUGAGACUCCAGCAUUAUCUGCAACCAUUUGUAAUCCUUCUAUGUGUACGUUGGGAUGGAGGUAGGGCAGGCGGUGUGUUUUGUUCGGUGUACAUCCCAAAAGCAGAUCAGAGCUUGCUGUAAUCCCACUGCACAGUCAGAAUGGAAGAAACCUUUGCCACGGUGAGAAAAAAACUGGCUGCGUCUUGAUGGACAUAAAGGAAAAUGUGACAUGGCGUGUUUUACUGUGUCUGGCAAGGAGGGGUGUACUUUGAAUGGAAUUCUUUUUAUCCAUGAGUUCAUUCAGCAAAUGUUUAUUAAUAAAGGCUAACAUUUUU